Molecule: ribosomal RNA, 279 nt
Filed under: uncultured bacterium
Lineage: Bacteria
Description: partial 16S ribosomal RNA
Source: RNAcentral
GGACUACCCGGGUUUCUAAUCCCGUUCGAUACCCAUGCCUUCGUAUCUCAGCGUCAGUCUUUAAUAGUAAUAAGCUUUCGCCACUUUGCAACCCUACAAGUAUCUAAGUAUUGUUACACUCCUCUUGCCGUAUUUAUUACUCCUUUAAACUCUAGUAUAAUAAUAUAAGUUCUACUAUUACGUAUAAAAAUACAAAUUAAUUAUACCGCCUACUUACCCUUUAGACCCAUUAAAGACGAGUAACGCUUGCCUCUCACGUAUUACCGCGGCUGCUGGCAC